CCCUUUGUGACAUACCUAACCGUUGCUUCGGCGGGCAGGGGAAGCCUCUCGCGGGCCUCCCCUCCCGGCGCCGGCCCCCACCACGGGGACGGGGCGCCCGCCGGAGGAAACCAAACUCUAUUUACACGACGUCUCUUCUGAGUGGCACAAGCAAAUAAUUAAAACUUUUAACAACGGAUCUCUUGGUUCUGGCAUCGAUGAAGAACGCAGCGAAAUGCGAUAAGUAAUGUGAAUUGCAGAAUUCAGUGAAUCAUCGAAUCUUUGAACGCACAUUGCGCUCGCCAGCAUUCUGGCGAGCAUGCCUGUUCGAGCGUCAUUUCAACCCUCAAGCACCGCUUGGUUUUGGGGCCCCACGGCACACGUGGGCCCUUAAAGGUAGUGGCGGACCCUCCCGGAGCCUCCUUUGCGUAGUAACUAACGUCUCGCACUGGGAUUCGGAGGGACUCUUGCCGUAAAACCCCCAAAUUUUUUACAGGUUGACCUCGGAUCAGGUAGGAAUACCCGCUGAACUUAAGCAUAUCAAUAAG
RNAcentral lists this ribosomal RNA (527 nucleotides) under Colletotrichum simmondsii. RNAcentral's name for it is "eukaryotic LSU rRNA". The stretch from base 163 to 316 matches the Rfam family "5.8S ribosomal RNA". The record is from RNAcentral. Lineage: Eukaryota; Fungi; Ascomycota; Sordariomycetes; Glomerellales; Glomerellaceae.